AUUGAACGCUGGCGGCAGGCCUAACACAUGCAAGUCGAGCGGACGAAGGGAGCUUGCUCCUGGAUUCAGCGGCGGACGGGUGGGUAAUGCCUAGGAAUCUGCCUGGUAGUGGGGGAUAACGUCCGGAAACGGGCGCUAAUACCGCAUACGUCCUGAGGGAGAAAGUGGGGGAUCUUCGGACCUCACGCUAUCAGAUGAGCCUAGGUCGGAUUAGCUAGUUGGUGGGGUAAAGGCCUACCAAGGCGACGAUCCGUAACUGGUCUGAGAGGAUGAUCAGUCACACUGGAACUGAGACACGGUCCAGACUCCUACGGGAGGCAGCAGUGGGGAAUAUUGGACAAUGGGCGAAAGCCUGAUCCAGCCAUGCCGCGUGUGUGAAGAAGGUCUUCGGAUUGUAAAGCACUUUAAGUUGGGAGGAAGGGCAGUAAGUUAAUACCUUGCUGUUUUGACGUUACCAACAGAAUAAGCACCGGCUAACUUCGUG
RNAcentral lists this ribosomal RNA (484 nucleotides) under uncultured bacterium. RNAcentral's name for it is "partial 16S ribosomal RNA". It matches the Rfam family "Bacterial small subunit ribosomal RNA", at positions 30 to 507 of the family's 1533-position model. The record is from RNAcentral.